Molecule: ribosomal RNA, 612 nt
Filed under: uncultured bacterium
Lineage: Bacteria
Description: bacterial SSU rRNA
Rfam family: Bacterial small subunit ribosomal RNA (bases 1-522)
Source: RNAcentral
CCUACGGGAGGCAGCAGUGGGGAAUAUUGGACAAUGGGCGAAAGCCUGAUCCAGCAAUGCCGCGUGAGUGAUGAAGGCCUUAGGGUUGUAAAGCUCUUUUACCAGGGAUGAUAAUGACAGUACCUGGAGAAUAAGCUCCGGCUAACUCCGUGCCAGCAGCCGCGGUAAUACGGAGGGAGCUAGCGUUGUUCGGAAUUACUGGGCGUAAAGCGUACGUAGGCGGUUAUUCAAGUCAGAGGUGAAAGCCUGGAGCUCAACUCCAGAACUGCCUUUGAAACUAGAUAGCUAGAAUCUUGGAGAGGUGAGUGGAAUUCCGAGUGUAGAGGUGAAAUUCGUAGAUAUUCGGAAGAACACCAGUGGCGAAGGCGACUCACUGGACAAGUAUUGACGCUGAGGUACGAAAGCGUGGGGAGCAAACAGGAUUAGAUACCCUGGUAGUCCACGCCGUAAACGAUGAUAACUAGCUGUUCGGGCUCUACGAGCUUGGUAGUGGCGCAGACUACGACAUUAAGUUAGUCCGCCGUGGGAGGUACGGUCGCGAGAGUUAAACGUACGUAAAGUUAAGUUAGUACGGCGUUGAGACGNGCCGACGGACGACGACGAGGGAGGAGG